CCAAAACUCCCUUGACCAACUUUAUGGGAGAUUAGGUUAACCCAAGCCCAUGUACACCCAUGACUCAACCUAAUCUCACCUAUUCUAGGCCCAGACCUGGCCCAUAAAGAGUUGGUCCCUUGAGGCCCACAUAACCUAGACCUCAAGAACCCGAAAGGCCCACAGCCUUUCUCCUAAGGCCCAACUAGCCCUAGAGCCUCUAUGAAGCUCUCAUGAAUGAUGGACCUUGGCCUUAGCCUUGGUCCCCUGGGCCUUGGGCACACCACCUAGAUCACAACACUACCCUGCUCCACUCUCUGUAACGGAUUUCGCGUGGCUCCACUACUCUCUGGCA
Molecule: long non-coding RNA, 334 nt
Filed under: Elaeis guineensis (African oil palm)
Lineage: Eukaryota; Viridiplantae; Streptophyta; Magnoliopsida; Arecales; Arecaceae
Description: long non-coding RNA (EGUI_LNC066467)
Source: RNAcentral